GACAGUGUAGUAAUUGUAACUCUGUACACAGUAAUAAGUUCCAGCAUCCUCAGCCUGUACGCCACUGAUGGUGAGAGUGAAAUCUGUCCCAGACCCACUGCCGC
Octodon degus (degu) is the source of this 104-nucleotide long non-coding RNA. RefSeq lists it as uncharacterized. The record is from RefSeq and is a predicted model, not a curated record. The transcript has 3 exons. Lineage: Eukaryota; Metazoa; Chordata; Mammalia; Rodentia; Octodontidae.